This is a non-coding RNA of Sarcophilus harrisii (Tasmanian devil), 620 nucleotides long. The record is from the annotation of a RefSeq genome assembly. Lineage: Eukaryota; Metazoa; Chordata; Mammalia; Dasyuromorphia; Dasyuridae.
CUCAGCUACUAGACUGAUAUCCUUAAAAUCCUUUUGCAGUUCAUUGGUUACACUCAUUCUUUUAGAGAUAGUAAAGGCAGUGACAUCACAGACUGUUUCCACCCAUAUGGGUGGGUACAACCUCCAGUUCCAGGUCUUCUUUUCUUUUUCUUUAUUUUUUAUUUCUACUGAAACUGAAAUGAGUACUAGAUUUCUUUCUUUAGUGAUUAUUUUUCUUCUGAGGACAGGCCUUAUGAAUGCUGGAGUAACACAGAUCCCAAGGCAUCUAGUCAAGGGAAAGGGUCAGGAGAUGAACCUAAUGUGCAAGCAGGACUUAGGUCAUGAUGCUAUGUUCUGGUAUCAGCAGGAUGUCAACCGCGAGAUCCGUAUGAUGUUUUACUUCAGUAAUCAACAACUUAUUACAAAUGAGACUGCUUCCAGUCGCUUUCAAUCAGGUUUCCAUAAGGAAAAAUUCAAUCUUAAGAUUGAACUUCUUCAACUGGAGGACACAGGUACAUAUUUCUGUGCCAGUAGUAAACCACAGAGUUGUAAAGUUCCUUGAUCUCUGUGCAUAAACCUCUUCCAACAUCUGCUGAAAAGCAACAGGGGAUGAAAAGGGUUAUGGGAUAUUGAUCAAGAAG